This is a small nuclear RNA of Schistocerca gregaria, 107 nucleotides long. The record is from RefSeq and is a predicted model, not a curated record. Lineage: Eukaryota; Metazoa; Arthropoda; Insecta; Orthoptera; Acrididae.
GCAUCCGCUUCGGAGGUACAUCUACCAAAACUAAAAUGAUGCAGAGAGGAUUAGCAUGGUCCCUGUACCUGAAUGAUAUACAACGACAUGAAAAAAGUGGUAUAAUG